GAGGUCCCGCCUGCCCAGUGAUGGUUUCAACGGCCGCGGUACUCUAACCGUGCAAAGGUAGCACAAUCACUUGUUCUCUAAAUUAGGACUAGAAUCAACGGCACCACGAAGGUCUAACUGUCUCCUUAAUCCAAUCAGUGAAACUGAUCUUCCCGUGAAAAAGCGGGAAUAACUUUAUAAGACGAGAAGACCCCAUGGAGCUUCAAACUCAACAGCUAUCCACAUAAACUACACUUUAAUUUAAAGGACAUAUCUGUUAGUUUUAGGUUGGGGUGACCGCGGAAAAUAGCACAACCUCCGCAAUGAAAGAAUAAUUCUUAUCUAAGAGACACACCUCUAAGAAAUAAUAUAUUGACAUAUAAUGAUCCGAUACUUAUUCGAUCAAUGAACCAAGUUACCCUGGGGAUAACAGCGCCAUCCACCCUUAGAGUUCUUAUCGUCGGGUGGGUUUACGACCUCGAUGUUGGAUCAGGGUGUCCUGGUGGUGCAGCCGCUACUAAAGGUUCGUUUGUUCAACGAUUAAAACCCU
Molecule: ribosomal RNA, 529 nt
Filed under: Ptychadena aequiplicata
Lineage: Eukaryota; Metazoa; Chordata; Amphibia; Anura; Ptychadenidae
Description: partial 16S ribosomal RNA
Rfam family: Bacterial large subunit ribosomal RNA
Source: RNAcentral